Molecule: long non-coding RNA, 3997 nt
Organism: Hippocampus zosterae (dwarf seahorse)
Lineage: Eukaryota; Metazoa; Chordata; Actinopteri; Syngnathiformes; Syngnathidae
Exons: 2
Source: RefSeq, a predicted model, not a curated record
UCGUACAAUUCAAGAGUGUUAUGAAAUAAUCUUCAGGUAAUGAUUAUCGGCUUGAAUUAACUCCGUUAGAGAAUUAUUGAUUUACAUUUAUUAUUUUUUUUUGUUGUGGUCGUAGUUUGCUGCAGUGCAACAUGAACUGUUUCUUAUACUUUGGUUACCUUAUUUAGUCACAAAGAUUUCAAAUAUCAAACACCCAACACAACGGUUAUUCCAAUUCAUACAAAGAUAAACGUUGCUCAAUGUGUUUGGCGUAGUCAAUAGACGAAUGUAUAUGGAAAGGCGGAAUGUUUUAUACAGCUUUUUGACCAGAUUUGAAGUUGUGCUAAUGUUUGUUUGAAGUGUACAUACAGUGUUCUUCUUUUUCAUUUUAUUUUUUUAUUUCAUAACACAUUGUUUCAAGACAUUUUAUUUGUUACAAUCAAUUUUUUAUUGUAUUCAACUAUAAACAUAGAUCAGUAUCUCUUCCCGCAACCAACCGCUCUAAAGUCAGGAGCAAACUAUUCACGAGAUAAUAAUUGCGCAUAUUUAAGGAGAUCAAAAUAGAUGCAUGGAAUAUUAAAAAUAGUUACUCACCCCAAAUUGCAAAGUCUCUCCUCCACUCAAUCCACUCAGUUCCAGAAAAUCUCACCACUUCCUCAAAGUAUAAAGGCAGGCAUCUUAUUCAGUGGUCUCUGUCUGGGAGAUGCUUGUCGGUCCACAGGAGCUGGCCAAUUUAUCAUAUCGGAGAGUGCGCCCCCACUACGGCUGCUUGCGUGCACACGGCUGACAAAUGGAGACGGGGCGAGAUGGCUCAGCCUCAACCACCCAAAAAAACAUGUAAUAGGCGUCUACAAAGUAAAUAGUCCGUCUGAAAUGGUGUAUUUAUGUUGCUGUGUGGACAGAAGUGUUUCAGAGACAAACACAGCAGCUGCGCUCUUUCUUCUCCUUACAUGGAGACAAUCUGUGUGUUUAUACGGCACCGACAUGAGGCUGAGACACAACGCAUUACUCCGGGCUGAGGACAUGUAUUCCGUCCAAGUACUGCAUUUCAUCACCUACAUGCUAAAAGAAUACUACAGUGGCUGUUGGUUGAACUCAAAAUAGUUUGAAUUAAAGAUGGAGUGGUGGGGGGGGGGGUGAUCAUUCCAUUGAGAAAUAAUGGAUUUUGAGUUACUGUACAUUCUCAACGGUUAAGCAAGUGCAAAGGAAGUUAACCACUUAAUGAUAUAUUUUUUAAAAUGACCAAGCACAUCUUAGAAUUGAUGAUGCAAAACGGCGCAAAGCUAGUUAGUUACAGUAGAUGCAUGCUAAACUGAAGCGCCACUGGCAAAUAUCCCGCAUCAAGUUUUUGUCCAAAUUUUGUGGCAUAUUUUCCCGCCCAAAAUGUUGACUUUUUUUUUCCUCAUCUUAACAUUCAAAAUACAGUAUAAGGUUCUGUUUCUCAUUGGAUGAACAGUUUUAUUUUUUAAAAUUCCUGCUGUUGCUAAGAAAGUACAUCCUCUGCUCGGCCUUGAUGAGGGAGGGACCGUGUGUGCGUGUGAGUGUGUGUGUGUGUGUGUGUGUGUGUGUGUGUGUGUGUGUGUGUGCGUGCGUGCACAUUGAACGCGUCUCCAUAAGACAGUUUUCCCCAUAAGGUAGUGAAGGCUUGACUUCUGGAGACUCCUUUCAUCAUGAGACCCGAAUUAGAUUCAUUACGAGGAUCUGUAUAUUAAAUUACUGAAAACAAAAAUGAAAGAUAACAUUUCAUUCAAAGUGUUUUUGGAAAUACUUUUCCAAUUUAAAGCCAAACUUUAAAUGGACUCGACCUCUGACAGCGCAAGCUUAAAUAGACCAAAAUGUCCGAAUCUACUCUCUUCUGGUGCAAAAUGGGUUCUUCUGCCAAUCAAAACAAUUGAUCAUACACGUAAUGGUUUUAUAGCUACCCCAGGAAUGCGGCCAUCUCAUUCUCAUCUCAUCUCGCCAGCAGUGCAUUAACGUCAUUCAUUGCAAUUUCACACAGACAGGCACACAAUCUACAAUAACCUCCGCCAUGGCCCGAGUCUCGUUCAAUUUAGAGACUCUUGCUAGUUUUCACCUGUUGUGUAUCACAUGGAAAUGCCCUUGAGGCACACAAUAAAUGUUCUGUGGUCAGGAAUUUCAGCAGCAGCGGCGUAAAAAAAAAAGAAAAAGAAAAAAAAGAGCGCAAACAAUGAUUUAAAGUGCUGUCACAGACUUGCCUGCUCGCACACCUUUAAAUCUCCCUUGCAUUUCAUCUUUCAUCAACAGCAAUGUCAACAUGCGAGCAGUCAGCCACCCCUCAAUGCGAGCAUUACAAUGCAAUCUUUUUUUCAGUUGCCAGUACUUCUUUCACUGAUCAAUGUGUUGCUUCUACAAAACUUGGCAGUGCCCUGGCCGAGGUCCAGAGAAUUUGUAGUGUUGUCCGGCUUUCUAGCUCUGCUCUUUUCUCCAUUGCCUCACAGUUUAUGAUUGUUUUGGACAUAAUGUACCAAUUGUUUUUCUCAACAGCGACAUGCUCAUCUUGUCUAAAUGAUAACGUUCCUUUGUAGAAGCAAGAGAAGAGCCACGUGGAGUUAUGAUAGUUAUGUUAAUGUGUCGCUUUUAUCCCAGGGUAUGUUUUAGAAUUCAAAUGACACCGACUAAAAGCAGUUGAUCCACUUUCAGCAGUUCUCUAGGCUCAUUUUGGACCAUUUCCUGUGCCUUAAAGCACAUAGUUUUGAAUGACACUGUGCAUGGAUUAGAAGAGCAACUUGUGAAAUUGCUGCCCACUUUGCGUGUGGGCGUGCGUGUAUCACAAAAGUUCAGUCGGGUGCCAUCCAGUGUCAUUUGCGAAUAGUUUGGGGGUUUUCAUUGCAGUUAGUUUUUAUUUCGUUUUGUCGUUUGUUUUUUUAAUUCGGUUAAUUUUAAUUUGUUUUUAGAAUGAGGUUUGUUAGUUUUUAAUUCAUGUAUUUUUUUCUCAAUGCUUAUUGCAGGCAUUUUUAUUAGAUUUAGAAUUAGCUUUAAGUUUUUUUUUUAAUGGAGUACUGUAUUUGGCGAGUGAUAAAUAUGUAAAUAAAAAAAGCUCACUAUGUUGAGCUUAUGGUGGCAACAGUUUGAGUAUGGACUGGGCUAGACAAGAAAAGUGAGUACGGGUAGUUUUGCUUCAUUGCACUUCAGCAUUGUUUUAUGAUGGAGCAUUGCCCUUCUUAUUACACUUGUAUGGCAGUUAAUAAUGUCGAAAGGUUACUUAAAACAUUGUAGUUAAAGAUUUUUUUUUGUCAUGACUGGAGUGUAUUUAUUAUAAUUCCUUUUGUUUUCUAUGGAAAAAAACACUUGAAUCUUUAAAUACAAAGUACAUUUUGAAGCAGAAACAAGAUGUUGCUAUCGGAACAUUAAUGCUAAAAGUGAACGAGGAGUGCAUUUUUUCCCAUGCCAGUUAUUUUCUUGCUGUCGGCGUCGUUGAGCGUUCGUUUAGAAUGUAUGACGGGAAGCGAGGCGAACAGAUUGGCAAUGAACUCUUGACAACCUCCACGGGGCUCGCUGGUUGGCGCUUCAAUAAUUCAGCAGUCAAAUCGUGCUACGCGACCAGAUUCUAUCUACAUAGUGGACUGGCAACUUGUCAAGAUAGUCGUGAUGAAAAAAGGCAUCCAUGGGAAAGCGCUGCAAUCUGAGGGGGAAAUAAUGUCAUUGAUUUUAUAUCAUGGAGUUUAUUUAAAAUAUUUACACAGUGAUCUGUUUUCGGCUCAGAGUUUGCAGUCACAAAUCAAUUUUAAUCUGGAUCUGAUCUUUAUUCUCGCCAGUAACUAUGGAAUGUGUAAAAUACCAGUGAACAUUUUCAAAUACUUCUACGCUUACAUGUCUGGUGUGGUUUGAUUAUCGAAAUUUGAACAGAAAAUGACCUUGAUAUGAUUAGUAAUAUCUCAGAUCGUAGCUGCUAACCUCUCAGGAUAGAUUUUUUCACCCAAAAAAAAACGCAACGCAAAAAAAAUACAUAACCGAUUGUCAUAAAAAUCUCGAUUUAGUUUUGGUGAGGAUCUGGAUU